UCCAUCGUGCAACUUAACAAACCAGUCAACAUGUAUUCAUUUCAAGGAGAUGAAGUUUUAAUGAUCACGUGACGACAAAGGGUGUUGUGCUGAACAUUUUGUUGAGUUGUGUUCAUCUGUUUUUAGACCCUGCAGAAAUCGUACCAGAAGGAACAUCCCCAACAGAACAUCCUGUUGAUUGUACAGGUUCUUCUACUCUGGACUUCAUGAUGUUGACUCUGCGUGUGGCUGAACUCAUCCUGAUGACUGUGAUCACUGUUCUUCUCUUCAGAACUCGAGGGACCCGGAGACCACCUUAUGACAACACUGUGCUUGAUGAUGAAGAUGAAGGCUCUGUGAACUAUGAUGAUAUUGGAGAACCUUGUGCUUCUGUCAGACUCCACUCAGCAACAAUAACUUCUAGACCAACAUCCACUCACCAGAUAAAUUAAUCUUCUGCUUUCAUCAUUUUGAUAUCUCAUUUUUUUAUGCAUUUAAAGAAACAGAUCUACCUAAUCGAAAGUCUCAAUUGCAGCAGGAUGAGAUCUGAACUCAGUUUAUUAAUUUCACUGUACAACCAAGAAUAAGUGCUGUUGAUCCAUAAUUUUUUUUUAAAUCUAAUUCAUUACAGGCUACGUAAUUAAUUGCAUAUAUUGAUAAUAUGAGAAGGAUUGCAUUACAGGUAGAUUUACUGCAUAACCCAUCUUUUUUCUUUAUCUGUAAAAGAAUAAAUAAAAAAGAUGAACUUGUAAAUAACUUAACCCCACUUAAAGCUUCUGCUGCAGUUUCUCUUUUAAUAUACUGAUGUAGUAUUGUUGCUAAAAUAGAUUUAAUGGGAUUUAUAUACGUUUUGCUUCACAUUAUUUUAAGUUUUAAGAGACUCAGUUAUAGUCUUCUCUUUAUUAUUUCUGAUUCAAUGUCAUCAUUAUCAAAUAAAUAAAUAUUGACCAUUUAUUUUCUAGAGUGUGUUUUAUGACAAAACUAAAUACACGCUUUGUGGGAGCUUUUUUCUUUCUCUUGUUAUUUGUUAUUUUGCAUUCGGUUUUGUAUUUGUUUAUCUUUGUAAACACCAGGGGGCAGUGGGCACCUUGCCAAGCACUUGGCAAUGUGGCAGGUGUGUCACUGUCAGGUGAAGGGAAAAAAGGUUUUUAACAGGGGAAAUGUUUGUUCGUUUUGCAUGUUCUGAAUUAAAAUGAGGAAAAGUGAUCAUGA
Long non-coding RNA from Labrus mixtus (cuckoo wrasse), 1191 nucleotides. RefSeq lists it as uncharacterized. The transcript has 4 exons. The record is from RefSeq and is a predicted model, not a curated record. Lineage: Eukaryota; Metazoa; Chordata; Actinopteri; Labriformes; Labridae.